CGCCGCUCUAGGUCCGCCCCGGGCCGGCGGCGGCCGCGUACCGGAGGCAGCUGCGGCGCCCACUGGGGGAGGCGAGGAAGCGGAGACGCUGCAGGGAGGAAAAGGCCUGGGAACCGGGACGGCGCCGGAGGCGUAGGGGGAGGUCCCGGGGACCCCGCGACGAGCCGCCUAGGGACUUUGCGAGGUUCCUCGACUACCUCGUCCGGUCGGACCAGAACUUCCUCGCCCCCCUGUAGGUCUUCGAGAUAGUCCUCCUAGCUCACCUACCGUUCUUGUUGGUCGUCCCAUCUUCCGGACCCGACCUGGCGUUCGCCCGAGUCAAGAGAGAGUUCGGGUGGGUUUCGUUGGGUCACUUACAACUAAAGAGGGUCCGCGAAUCGUAACUGCUAGGUCUCCUCAUGAAGAAUUGGAACCUCGCCGAGCUUUUCCGACUGUCCCUCUAUUUUUUCAAUUCUCCACUCCAAGGUUGGUUUUGUCGUUUAAUACUAGCCGGAUAGCUUGGUGGGUUCUUCGCCGGACCUUACAGCUCCUCUUUUAGCCAGAUAAGAAUGUUAAAAUCACACCCGUACCUAUGGAGUCUACCAUGACUUCGUGGGCUAAGGGUCUACCCUUGAAAUGGUCUUAGAGUCAGGUGAGUUCUGCUGUACGGAGGAAGUCAAGGACUUUCUUGGUUCGGUGGCCAGGGAAGUUCAAGAUCGGUUACACUAUAUGUUCUACAGAGUUGCUCUCUUCUAAGGAAACGAUUCUUCCUAUUUCCGCGGUGAGACCUAAGGGAUUACAGUCGUAAGUUUUUAAACCUACGUAGAUUUCUCCUUUCGGACAACGCUCUCUUCAAUGUCUAGUUUCUUUAUUUGUAUCCCCUUCGAACAUAGGGACUGGAUAAGUUACAAGGACCACUAUCCGGACAUUCUUCUUGAUUCGUCUUCAUAGACUGCUCACUAGCAUGAGGUCUUUCUGGACAUAGUCCCUCGGUGGUACGAGGUUAAAGCUUUACCCUAUUUGUGUAUGAACCAGCUCUGUAAGACUUGCUAUUUCGUCUAGAAAGUCUUCUGCUACUUAGACUAUUAAGAGGUCUUUGACAACACCUAUUUGUUAGCGUCCACGUGUCAAGAAUGUUACUACAACAAAACUGCUUGCCACUCCGGAGAUGACGUUCCCUCUGGGGUUGAAGUUAGUAUUUUAAAGGUCUGGUACAAGAACUUGGUCUUCUCGUGUACGGUCACUUAGUGGGUAAAUGGCUCUCCGGUUUAUUACUUGGUCUUUGAAGAAGAGUAGUAAACCUUCCACUUUGUUGUUUUCACGACCCAUCACGUGGUCCAUCCUUACGCAGUCACAACGUACCACUUCUACUGUUAUAGCCUAUAGUCCCUCACGAACCUCCCCUGUACGAACACGUUCUACUUGGUUAGGUAGGUGGCCUUUAUGGAGGUCUACGCGUAUUAGUCAGAGUAUAAGUCCUACUUCUACAACUCUUUGUCCGUCAACUAUAUUCGGUACUUGAGGGAGACUCGUUUCCACCAUUCGUUUUACGUCAGGUUUUUUCUUUUUUGUUCUUCGUCAGUCGUUUCUCUCCUUUUUCUCAAAGUCUAUUCGGUUAGGUAUGUAGUCUUUAUGGAGGUCUUCUAUAACAGGGUGUCUUAUUGAGAGUACAAGUACUUCCUUUGAAGCUCUUUGGACGUCAACCAUGUUCGUUACUUGAGAGGGGUUCGUUUCUAUCAUUCGUUUUCGCUCAAGUUUUACUCCUCAGAUUCUUCGUCGGUAACUUCUCUUACUUUUCUCCCCGUCUUCUCCGUUCGUUAGGUAACCCUUAUGGGGGCCUUUUAACACUAUGUCUCUGAGUUGGAUCAUACGUUCUAUGUUUAUAGCUCGUCGUCUGCCAACUAUGUUCCCAAAGUGCCAGGGGUUUGUUUCCAUUUAACGUUUUCCUUCCAGUUUCCUCUUUCUUCUCCGUUCUUCACUUAUCUUCCUUUUCGGACUGUCGUAAACCAGAACGCACCGUUAGACCGCACUCUGCGUCGUGUUCUUAUGCCAGGUCCGGUAACGUCCUAACCGAACCGCUUUCCGAGGAUAUACCCGCAUAUGUACUGUGUUACCGGUGUCAGUAGCCGCACUUUAGUAUAAGAGGGUCAGUUCUACCGUUCCAACUUAACUCUCACUUUAGGAAGCACGGUCUUGUCAUGAGUCUAUACCAUCGAGUUCGACGUUUCAUAACUCCAAUGACCGGAACUGUUUAGAGUGAAACAAGACCCUGUUCAGCAAAACACCGGUUCUCCCAGCCAUCGUAAAGUCCACGAAAGAGUACGACACGGUAGAUAGAAAGAUUUUCUCAAAACGUGUUACAUCACGUUGGUACGACAAUUGUAGGUUCUGGUACAUCUUUAUACCUACAUCAUCAUCUGUGUUCUUAAUAGAAGUGGAAACAAUCGACAAAAAUCACAGUAGAGACCUACUAUACUACAGUUAACAGAGAUCAAACAUAUACGUCCUUCAGGGAACAGCAUACUAUUUUAAUAGCAUGAUACAAAUUUACGCAGCCUUGGUCGAUACCGGACGGUAAAACAUACACGUCCGCGCAAGAGGUUCACUUUCAAGGAGUCUCCUUAAAAAGACGAUACACGUAAACUUCAACAUACUCCUACUCUGCUAAAGUCACCAUGACUGUAGACGUAAGCGUACCAAACUUCCCAGAAAAAGAGG
This 2697-nucleotide ribosomal RNA is filed under the name Triticum aestivum (bread wheat). RNAcentral's name for it is "partial small subunit ribosomal RNA". The record is from RNAcentral. Lineage: Eukaryota; Viridiplantae; Streptophyta; Magnoliopsida; Poales; Poaceae.